RNAcentral lists this ribosomal RNA (484 nucleotides) under uncultured bacterium. RNAcentral describes it as "partial 16S ribosomal RNA". It matches the Rfam family "Bacterial small subunit ribosomal RNA", at positions 28 to 523 of the family's 1533-position model. The record is from RNAcentral.
GACGAACGCUGGCGGCGUGCUUAACACAUGCAAGUCGAACGAUGAAGCCGGAGCUUGCUCUGGUGAAUUAGUGGCGAACGGGUGAGUAACACGUGAGUAACCUGCCCUUGACUCUGGGAUAACUGCUAGAAAUGGUAGCUAAUACCGGAUACGACCCUCGGAGGCAUCUUCAGGGGGUGGAAAGAAUUUCGGUCAAGGAUGGACUCGCGGCCUAUCAGCUAGUGGGUGAGGUAAUGGCUCACCAAGGCGACGACGGGUAGCCGGCCUGAGAGGGUGACCGGCCACACUGGGACUGAGACACGGCCCAGACUCCUACGGGAGGCAGCAGUGGGGAAUAUUGCACAAUGGGCGCAAGCCUGAUGCAGCAACGCCGCGUGAGGGAUGACGGCCUUCGGGUUGUAAACCUCUUUUAGUAGGGAAGAAGCGAAAGUGACGGUACCUGCAGAAAUAGCACCGGCUAACUACGUGCCAGCCGCCGCCGUAA